GUUUCAAAACUCCUUCAGCCUCGUCUGGAAGCAAUACAUCCUUUUUGGGCAACAUCAGUGGGAAUGAAUGAAGUACAAACAUGCAGACAAGUUACAGGCAGAAUCAAGUUAAAACCAAUACCAAAACAUCUCAAGAGGCAUUUCCUUCCUCACUGCAAUACUAAUCAAUAUAAAAGCACAGAACUUGAGUUAAAAAAUGUCAAGUCUUCUCCAACAAAUAAUGACAUUAAAACAGCACCCAAGGAAGAACAAGAAUGGCUUGAUGGAAGUGAAAAUAAGCAGUUUGAAGAACAAGGGCAGCGUUGCCAAAGUAAGGAAAUGGAGGGGUUAAGAAACUUGCAUGAAAGUGCUGCUCCUCCUGAGGACAGUGAUGGUUGUGGACUGAAUCAGCAGAGACAGAGCGGGGACCUUGACAACCAGCAAUCUGCCACUAAGAAGAGUGAAGAAUAUUAUUCGGAACAGUUAAGAAGAAAAGAAAAGCAAUAUCAUAAAGAAGAAGUGAAACAAGAAGAAGUGACACAUAGAACACUAGAAAUGGAUGCGAGGACUUCAAAAAACAAUUUGACCCAGUUCCAAGAAUCAGAAGAUGAACAAAAGGCGGUGGUACAAAACACUGAGAAAAUUCAGGAUCAUCUGGAAAAGCAUGAUCAGGAAAAUCGUGAGUUGAAAGAUACAAUACUAAAGCAAGCAAGGGAAAUUAAAAAUCUUCAGGAAAUCCUUUUCAGACUAAUUUCAGUAGAUAUGAAACACCUGCAGCAGCAACAGGAUUACGUUGAGAAAAGGCAAUGUAAAUCAGAGGCAUCGCUGAGAGAUAUGGCACAGUUUUACCUUAAGUUAAACAGCAAGAUGCAGGAUAUAAUGAACAAGUUAGAUGAAAUCGUCAGAAAAUUCCAAGUAUCAGAAAAUCUACACCAAGGAGUGGUAGAAAAUGUAAAGAAGACACAAGAUUAUCUUGAACACUACAUUUCAAGGCUUCAGUCUGAAAUUUUGGAAAUGAAAGAUAUCGUCAAACUGCAUGCUGGCAGUAUUGAAGAGCUGCAGAAAAAUCUGAUAAGACCAAGUUCAUUGCAGACAUCGGAACACACCAGAAAGAAAGCUGUUCAGGAAGAAUCUGACAAAGAACUGGAGAAACCCAGGCAACUCCACGUACAAGUGGGAGAAACCUUAACCUGCAACCUGAAUAAGGCACAUGAGGAAUUAACAGUGGUCAGAACUGAAUUUCUUCAGGAGACAGAUAGGAAUGAACCUUUACCCAGCACUAGUACCAUGAGGCCUGCUGUACCGUCAUCCAGUGUUGGGAAUGUUCGUGGUGGUUUAAUGUGCAAAGGAAACCAUGUCCCACAAAGAAAGUUAAGAAUUCCUACCUCACAGCUACAGCUUUCACGUAACUGCACACUGGACUGCUCAUACAUGGUUUCACCAGAUGAUGCAGGAUGUUGUUGCAUGAAUUCAAAAAUUGAAAUCCAGAAUUUGAAGAAGGAAUUAAGUGACCUCAGGAGACAAUCUAAAGAUGAACAGCAACACAUAAUGCUGCUUGCUGAGUUAAAUCAAGCUCUGCAGGACAAACUGGAUGAAGAGAUGAAGAAAAAUGGUGAUUUAGGAGACAAGAUAACUCAGCCAGCUCUCUGCUGUGGUCCAGGAGUGCAGUGGAGGAAGGCCCAAGUGCUUGGGCCCUGCACCCCAUGGGAGACGAGGAGAAGCACCUGGCUCCUGCCUUCGGAUCAGCAUGGUGCGCCGGCCGCAGUGCACCAGCCGCAGCGGCCAUUGGAUGGUGAACCAACGAAAAAAGCAUCAUCUCAAAAAAGUUCCGAGUAUCUAAUGGAGAGUGAUGACAUUUCAAAAAGUAUACAAAAAGAACAGAGAAUCCAUGUUGGGAUAUCUACACUCUCCAAAAUGAAAGCUCCUCAGGAAGCCAUUUCUAAAGAAUUGGAGGAAUAUAAGCAACUCCUUCUAGAGGGAUUUGAAGCUUUGAUAAGCAAACAAGAUGAGAUCAUUCAGGGUGUAGAAGCUUUUUCAAAGCAAGUGAAUGAAGCUAAUGAAGUGUUAGCAGAGGUCAGAACUAAAAAUUUUCUCCUGGAGAAACAACAGACUGGAACAUUAACCAAGUCUGUUUCUACGCAGACUGUUUCUACGCAAACUUCAGUAGCGUCACAUAGCGUUGGAAGUCGUGCUAAUAGUUUCUGGCUCAGCAGAGAUCUUACUCCACAACAAAACUUGGAGACUCCUACUUCAGCAACUCAGGCUUCACAUCACAACACUGCAGAGUCUUUGGACACGUUUGCCCUUCAGGAUCUUGACACCUCAACUUUAUGGGAAAGAUGUUUUCAGAUCAUUGAAAAAUAUAGGAGUCAAGAAAAUUUGCCUUCAUGCCAGAAUGAAGAUGUGGAAAGCACAACACAAUUUUAAGUAGCAAAUGAGAUGGAGCUACUGAGGAACUUAAAAAGUGACCUAGGAGCCAACAAUGAGUCCAAUUUAAGUCAACAUGUCAAAAGAAUAUGUACACAUUUUAAAGAAAAAAUAUGCUCUGAAUUACAAUUACUGACCACUGCUAUGUAACACAUUUACCAUUUACUUAUGCUUUAUAUUAUAAAAUUUUACUGACCACUGCUUAUGUAACACACCUGUUAUUUCUUUUUAAAUAUAUUAUGUGGGAAAAUCCUCACUAACUGAAAACAUUUAGUGUUAUGUAUCUACAAUUGAAAUUUUGUAUUUCCAAUUUAUAUUUUUUGAAAGACAGAGAUAGUGGUAAGGGAGGGAGCAAGAAAAAGGGAAAGGGGAAAAGAGGGGGAAAACAGAGAGAUCCCCCUUCCAAUAGUACAGCACCCAUAUAUCUGCAGUGAAAUAUAGGUGGGCUGUGCUGAAGCCAGGAUCCAGGAAUUCAGUUCAGGCAUCCUACUUAUGUGGCAAGGAUCCAAUUACUUGUUCUAUCACUCGCCACUUCCCAGAGCACACAUUAUUGGAAGCUAGGAAUCAGGAUGGGAACCUGGUCUUGCUAGGGAUUCCACCAGGGAUGCAGGAUAUUUCAAACGGCAUCUUAACUUCUGUUCCCAAUGGCAGGCCAGUUGCAGCACAUGAAACUGUUUGUUGGGAUGUAUAACUAACUUAGCACAGAUUUUGCAAAUGAAAACCAGUAUGAUUAACUUUUACAAACUCAGUUGUCCAAAUGGUGGCCAUUAUACAGCACCCUGAAAACCAAGUUGAAUGGAAUACUUUAGUGGGAUUAAUUAAGGGCUUCUUUGAAUUUGCCAAUUUUUGCUACUACAUACAAACCUAAUGAUUUGGAUAGACAUCAUUUUGGUAUACUGAUACUCUGGCCAGUGUCAAUAUCAUUGCUUGGAUGCAAUAUAAUUUUAUAGUGCUACCAAAAUUAUGUAAUUUUAACUUUAGGCAUUGAUUCAUACACCUUCUUCAUGGAGAAGUUAUGUUUACCUAUGGCUUUCUGUGUUUCCUUUUUAGUUUUUAUUACCUUUUAGGAAACAAUCUUAAAAUUAAAAAAAAAUUAAGUUUUAGUACAAAUAAUUUGCCCUCUUAAAGAAAGUGAGAGUCAUCUGCUGACAUUAUGCCAUCAGCUCUGACUACUUUGGAAUAUAUUUCCUAUAAGUAAGGACAUACUAAAUACAAUAAAACACUCAGAAUCACGAAGUUAACACUGUUCUGUGUAUCCACAGAUUCUUUUCCAGUUUUGUUACAUGUCUUGUGAUGUCCUUGAUAAUAAGAGAAUCCCAUUCAGAUCCAUGAAUUUCUUUUAGUUGUUGCCUUUCUUAGAUUUCUUCAGUCUGGAGGAGUUCCUUCCUUUUCUUUGACAUUAAUGACCAUGGAUCUUUUGAAGACUAAAUUCCAAUCAUGCAGAAUGUCCCUGAUUGGAUAUUUUCUGAUAUUUCAGUAUAAUUCGGUUAGGAUUAUACAGUUUUUGUUAAGGGCAUAACAGAAGGGAUUCUGUGAUCAUUGCAUACUGUCAUGUAACCUACACUUUUGAUUUCUCCCAUGACUAGUGAUGUUGCUGAUGCUGUCUGUUGCAUUUCUCCUCUGUAGUGUUCCUUUUUUACAUUUCACUUAGUUUUAAUCAGGUUUCAUCAUUUGAGACUAAAUAUCUGUUCUUUCUCAAUUUUUUUAUGAUUCAAUUUUUGUUUUUUUUUUUUUACAAAACUUAUAUUUAAUAAAUAUAAAUUUUGAAAGUACAACUUUUGGGUUAUAGCUGUUUUCCCCCCCAUAACCACCCUUCGAUCCAAAGAUCAUCCCACCUGCUAGUCCCUCUCCCAUCUCAUUCUUCAUUAAGAUUAUUUUUAAUUAUCUUUAUAUACAGAAGAUCAACUUAGUAUAUACUAAGUAAAGAUUUCAACAAUUUGUACCCACACAAACACAUAAAGUAUAAAGUACUGUUUGAAGAAUAUUUUUACCAUUAAUUCUCAUAGUACAACACAUUAAACACAGAGAUCCUACAUGGGGAGUAAGUGCACAGGGACUCUUGUUUUUGAUUUAACAAUUGAUAUUCUUACAUUUAUGACAUCAAUAAUAACCUGAGGCGCUUGUCAUAAGCUGCCAAGGCUAUGGAAGCCUCUUGAGUUCACAAACCCCGACCUUAUUUAGACAAGACCAUAAUCAAAGUGGAAAUUCUCCCCUCCCUUCAGAGAAAGGUACCUCCUUCUUUGAUGGCCCAUUGUUUCCGCAGGGAUCUCACAGUGAUCUUUCAGUUAGGUCAUUUUUUGCCACAGUGUCUUGGCUUUCCAUGCCUGAGAAACUAUCAUGAACUUUUUAGCCAGAUCUGAAUGCCUUAAGGGCUGAUUCUGAGGCCAGAGUGCUGUUUAGGGCAUUUGCCAUUCUAUGAGUCUGCUGUGUAUACUGUAUACUGCUUCCCAUGUUGAGUCGUUCUCUCCUUUUUAAUUCUAUCAAGUAUUAUUAGCAGACACUGGUCUUAUUUAUGUGAUCCCUUUGACACUUAAUACUAUCUUUAUGGUCAAUUAUGAACUUAAACUGAUCACUUUAACUAGUAAGAUGGCAUUGGUACCUGCCAACUUAAUGGGAUUUGGAGUCCAUAGCACGUUUUUAGCUUUACCUUUAGGGGUAAGUCCAAGUGAGCCUCUGCCGAACUGUACAUCUCUUCCCUCUCUUAUUGCCACUCUUAUUUUUAACAGGGAUAAACUUUCAGUUGGAUUCUAACUGCUAAGAAUAAUUGCUUAUUAAAUAAAGAGAUUGACCAAUGGUAUUAAGUAGAAAAAUAAAAUACAAAAAGAAUAAAAUAGUAAGUUUUUCCUUGACAGUAAGGACAGAGCUGAUCAAAUCACUGUUCCUCAUAGUGUCAGUUUUCACUUCCACCAUUUUCAAUGUAGGUGCUUGGUUAGUUGUCACAGAUCAGGGAGAACAUGAUAUUUGUCCCUUUGGGACUGGCUUAAUUCACUCAGCAUGAUGUUUUCCAGAUUCCUCCAUUUUGUUGCAAAUGACAGGAUUUCAUUUCUUUUAUCGAUGAGUAGUAUUCUACAGAGUACAUAUCAAAUGAUUUCUUUAUCCAGUCUACUGUUGAUGGGCAUUUGGGCUGAUUCCAUGUCUUAGCUAUUGUGAAUUGUGCUGCAAUAAACAUUGAGGUGCAGAAAACUCUUUUAUUUGCCAAUUUAAUUUCCUUUGGGUAAAUUCCAAGGAGUGGGAUGGCUGGGUUGUAUGGUUGGGUUAUAUUCAGGUUUCUGAGGAAUCUCCAGUCUGACUUCCGUAGUGGCUUUACCAGUUUGCAUUCCCACCAACAGCGGGUUAGUGUCCCUUUUUCCCCAAAUCCUCACCAGCAUCUGUUGUUGGUAGAUUUCUGUACAUAAGCCAUUCUAUCUGGGGUGAGGUGAAACCUCAUUGUGGUUUUGAUUUGCAUUUCCCUGAUUGCUAGUGAUCUUGAACAUUUUUUCAUUUGUCUGUUGGCUGUUUGGAUUUCCUCUUUUGAAAAAUAUCUAUUGAGGUCCUUGGCCCAUCUCUUGAAUGGAGUGAUUGUUUCAUUGUUGUGGUGUUUCUUGAUCUCUUUGUGGAUUCUGGUUAUUAAUUCUUUAUUAGUUGCAUAACUUGCAAUUAUUUUCUCACAUUCUGUUGAUUGCCUGUUCACUUUAAUGACCUUUUCUUUCACAGUAUAGAAACUUCUCAAUUUGAUGUAAUCCCAUUUGUUAAUUUUGGCUUUGUCUACCUGUGCCUCUGGGGUCUUUUCCAAGAAGUCUUUGCUUGUGCCUAUAUCUUGCAGAGUUUCUCCAAUGUUCUCUAAUACUUUGAUGGUUUCAGGUUGUGGUUUUGAUCUUUAAUCCAUGUUGAGUGAAUUUUUGUGUAAGGAGUAAGGUAGGGGUUUUGCCUCAUACUUCUGCAUGUGGAAAUCCAGUUUCCCCAGCACCAUUUGUUGAAGAGACUGUCCUUGCUCCAGGAAUUGGUUUUAGCUGCUUGAUCAAAUAUAAGUUGGUUGUAGAUGUUUGGAUUGAUGUCUAGUAUUUUUACUCUGUUCCAUUGGUCUUGCCAUCUGUUUCUGUAUCAGUAUCAUGGUGUUUUGAUUAUAACUGCCCUGUAGUAUGUCCUGAAAUCUGGUAUUGUGAUGCCUCUGGCUCUGUUUUUGUUGUACAAGAUUCUCUGGCUAUUCGAGGUCUCCUGUGCCUCCAUGUGAAUUUCAGCAUCAUUUUUUCCAGAUCUGAGAAGAAGGUCUUUGGUAUUUUGAUUGGUAUUGCAUUUAAUCUAGAAAUUGCUUUAGGAAGAAUGGACAUUUUGAUUAUAUUGAUUCUUCCAAUCCAUGAGCAUGGAAGAUUUCCCCACUUUUUGGUAUCCUCUUCUCUUUCUUUAAAGUAAUUCUCAUCAUAGACAUCUUUGAUAUCCUUAGCUAAGUUUAUUCCAAGGUAUUUGCUUUUUUAUUGUCACUAUUUUGAAUGAGAUAGAUAGAAGUUCUUUCUCAGCCAUGGCAUUGUCUGUAUAUAGAAAAGAUGUUGAUUUUUGUGCACUGAUUUUAUAUCCUGCUACUUUGCCAAACUCUUCUAUGAGUUCCAAUAGUCUCUUAGAGGAAUUCUUUGGAUCCCCUAAAUAAAGGAUCAUAUUGUCUGCAAAGAGGGAUAAUUUUAAUUCUUCCUUCCCAAUUUGUAUCCCUUUAAUUUUUUUUUUAUUGCCUAAUGGCUCUGGCUAAAACUUCCAGUACUAUAUUGAAUAGCAAUGGUGAGAGUGGGCAUCCCUGUCUGGUACCAGAUCUCAGUGGAAAUGCUUUUCCCCAUAUGAUAUCAGCCUUGGAUUUUUCAUAAAUUACCUUGAUUGUGUUGUGGAAUGUUUCUUCUAAACCCAAUUUGUUUAGAGUUUUCAUCAUGAAAGGGUGUUGUAUUUUAUCAGAUGCUUUCUCUGCAUCUAUUGAGAUAAUCAUAUGGUUUUUCUUCUGUAGUUGGUUAAUGUGGUGUAUCAUCUUGAUUGAUUUGCAAACGAUGAACCAUCCCUGCAUACCAGGGAUCAAUCCCACUUGGUCUGGGUGGAUGAUCUUUCUGAUUUGUUGGUGCAUUCUAUUAGCCAGAAAUUUAUUGAGGAUUUUGGCCUCUAUCCAUCUGGGAAAUUGGUCUGUAAUUCUCUUGCCUGCAUCUUUUUCAGGUUCAGGAAUUAAGGUGACGCUGGUGUCAUAGAAAGAAUUUGGGAGGAUUCCCUCUCUUUCAAUUGUUUUAAAUAGUUUGAGGACAAUUGGAGUUAGUUCUUUAAAUGUCUGGUAGAAUUCAGCAGUGAAUUCGUCUGGUCCUUGGCAUUUCUUUGUAGGGAGGGCCUUUAUUAAUGAUUCAAUUUCUGACUUGCUUAUGAGUCUGUUUAGGUUUUCUGUGUCUUCAUAGUUCAAUUUAGGUAGGUUGUAUGUGUCCAGCAAUCUAUCCAUUUCUGCUAGAUUUCCCUGCUUGUUUGGCAUACAACUCUUUGUAGUAAUUUCUGAUGACUCCUUAUUUCUGUGGUGUCUGUUAUUACAUUCCCCUUUUCAUCUCUGAUUUUAUUUAUGUGGGUCUUUUUUUAGUUAGUUGAGCCAAUGGGGUGUCAAUUUUGUUUAUUUUUUCAAAAAAAACAGCUCUUCAUUUUGCUGAUCUUUUGUAAUUUUUUUGAAUUCAAUUCUUUUGAUUUCCUCUCUAAUUUUAAUUAUUUCUCUUCUACUAGUUUUGGGUCUGGUUUGCUGCAGUUUUUCUAGAUCCUCGAGAUGCAUUGAUAGCUCAUUUAUUUGGGGCCUUUCCAAUUUCUUGAUGUAGGCACCUAUUGAUAUAAACUUUCCUCUUAACACUGCUUUUGUUGUAUCCCAUAAAUUUUGAUAUGUUGUGUUAUCAUUUACUUCCAGAAAGCUUUUGAUUUCUGUAUGACCCACUGUUCAUUCAGGAGCAUGUUGUUCAGUCUCCAUGUGUUUGCAUAUGCUCUAGAGAUUCCUGAGUUGCUGAUUUCUAGCUUUAUUCCAUUCUGGUCUGAGAGACGCCUGUAUGAUUUUGAUUCUUUUGAAUUUGCUAAGACUUGCUUUAUGGCUUAGUAUGUAGUCAGUCCUAGAGUAGGUUCCAUGUACUGCUGAGAAGAAUUUAUAUUCUUUAAGUGCAGGAUGAAAAGUUUUAUAGAUAUCUGUUAGAUCCAUUUGAUCUAUAUGUCAAUUAAAUCUACUGUUUCUUUGUUGAUUUUCUGUCUGGUUGAUCUGUCCUUUGCUGAAAGUGAAGUAUUGAAGUUCCCCCACUACUACUGUAUUGGAGUCUUAGUCUCCUUUCAGUCUCUUAACAUAUCUAUUAAAUAUCCCGGUGCCUUGUAACUAUGUACAUAAAUGUUUAUAAUAGUUACAUCUUCCUGUUGGAUUUAUCCCUUAAUCAUUAUAUAGUGUCCCUUUUUGUUUUCUUUUAACAGUUUUGUUGUUAAAGUCUAUUUUGUCUGAUAUUAAGAUGGGCAUGCCAGCUCAUUUUCGUUUUGGUUGGCAUGGAAUAUCUUUUGCCAACCUUUCACUUUCAGUCUGUAUGCACCUUUGUUGGAAAGAUGUGUUUCUUGUAAGCUGCAAGUAGCUGGGUUUUGUUCCUUAAUCCAUUCAGCCAGUCUGCGAAUUUUAGCUGGAGAGUUGAGGCUAUUUACAUUCAUUAUGACUGUUGGUAAGUAGUGACUUGCCCUGUCAUUUUUCCAAAGAUAUUUCUAAUAUAUAUUUGAACUUCCUGUGAUCUUUUACUGAGAGAUUUUUUUUCCUUUACCUUCUUUUGUGUUGAUGACAGUGUUUCUUUGUGUAACACAUGUUAAGCAUCUUUUGCAGGGCUGGACGAGUGGUGACAAAUUCUUUCAAUUUCUGUUUGCUAUGAAAGGUCUUUAUUCCACCUUCAUUCACAAAUGAGAGCUUUGCAGGAUAUAAUAUUCUGGACUGGCAGUUUUUUCUCUUAGUGCUUGGGCUAUAUCUCGCCAUUCCCUCCUAGCCUGUAGGGUUUCUGAUGAGAAGUCUGCUGUGAGUCUAAUUGGAGAUUCUCUGAUGGUAAUCUGGCAUUACUCUCUUGCACAUUUUAGAAUCUUUUAUUUAUGUUUCACUGUGGUGAAUUUGAUUACAAUGUGUCAUGGAGAGUAUCUGUCCUGGUCCUAUCUAUUGGGAAUUCUGUGUACUUCCUGUACUUGAGGUCUCUUUCUCCAAACUUAUGAAGGUUUCUACUAGUAUCUCACUAAAAAGGCCUUCUAAUCCUUUUUCUCUCUCCAUGCCUUCAAGAAGUCCCAGAACCCGAAUGUUGGGUUUUUUAAUAGUAUCCUGUAGAUUCCCAAUAAUAUUUUUUAAUUUCUAAUUUCCUCUUCUUUUCUUUGGUUUGACUGUAUACUUUGCUGUGCUCUGUCUUCUAAGUCUGAUAUUCUCUCUUCUGCCUCACUGAUUCUGUUUUUAAGGCUCUCAACUGCAUUUUUUAUUUGUUCUUCUGAAUUCUUCAUUUCAUUUUGAUUUCUCUUAAAUAUCUCAAUUCCAUGUUCUAUUGGAUUCUUCAUUUCAUUUUGAUUCUUCCAAAGAUUUCAUUUUCUUGAGAGAGAUUUUCUUUCAUGUCCUGCAUGGAUUUCAAUAGUUCAUGCAUUUGUUUUUGAUUACUUCUAAGUAUUCUUAUCAUCAAGUUUUUGAGUUCCAUUUCUUGCAUUUCUUCUUUCUCAUCGACUUCAUUUCAUAAUCUUGUAUUGAAGUGUCAUGUUCUUUUUUUUUUUUUUUUUUUUUGGACAGGCAAAGUUAGACAGUGAGAGAGAGAGAGACAGAACGGUCUUCCUUCCAUUGGUUCACCCCCCAAAUGGCCACUAUGGCCAGCAUGUUGCGCCAAUUCGAAGUCAGGAGCCAGGUGCUUCCUCCUGUUCUCCUAUGUGGUUGCAGGGCCUAAGCACUUGGGCCAUCCUCCACUGCCUUCCCGGGCCACAGCAGAGAGCUGGACUGGAAGAGGAGCAUCCAGGACAGAACCAGCACCCCAACCAGGACUAGAACCUGGAGUGCCGGUGCCGCAGGUGGAGGAUUAGCCUAGUGAGCCAUGGCACUGGCCAAGUGUCAUGUUCUUUUGGGAGUAUCAUAUUGUCUUCCUUAUUCUUGUUUCUUGGAUUGUUUCAAUUGUGGUUUGGCCUUUGUGGAGAUACUCAUUGAUUUCUUCUCUCCCUCCCCCCCACUUCAGUGCCUUUUAUUGUUUUACAAUGACUUUGUAGAUAAUUGGAAUGUCUGAAUCUCUAGAGGCUUGUGGUGGGUGUGGCCAGAGAUCAAUGUUCAGUUUUUCAAGAUUAAGGGCAUGCCUAAGGUGACACCCUCAGGUUUGGCAUGGUAAAUCUUCCCUCCCUUUUAUUUUUUAAUCAAAUGGGAAGCAAUUCUGCUCAGCUGAGCUCUUCUCCUCGAUGGCAAUCAGUGCCUGAGUGCUAGCACGAUUGGGCAUAAUAUUCAUCUGCUCUUUUCCAAGGACCACACAAAGGAUCUGUUCAGUCCUCAGUAUAAGUUCAUAUUCCCCUGCAAUGUCUCUCCCGGGUAACCAGAGCUGUCUGAGCUUGCAGCAUCUGCCAAUGAGACUCAAAGUCUCAGCCGCACCUUGAGUUCUCCCACACACCCUCAGGUUUUUUUUCCACAGUCCCAGUUCAGAAGCAUCACACAGUCACAAGUUCCUAGCUGCCUGUUAUUUCUCCCUACCAGAGUCUGGAGUCCCCACUCAGCUGAUUGCUGGUUGCGGCCCAGAGCUGGCACAGCUGUUACAUAUGUCCAAAAUGGCGCUGACUCUGUUGCCUCCAUGUCUUUGUAAGGUGAUUAGAAACGUGUCUGUACUGUCCCUUUUAUUUUUUAUCUCCUCUAGUUAGGCUAGUGUACUUUCCCCCACAGGGCUUCAAGCCUCAUUCCCUCUAGGCCCUUCCUGCUGCUUGUUGGCCAGUGUCUCAGGCUACUGCAGUCUCAUCUCACCUCACUUUCCAGUGCUGGUGCCUAGGCUCUUGGCUAUUUGAAUUCCAAGCUGUGGGUGCCCAAGCCCUCCAUGUAGGUCCACUGUGUCCCUCUAAUUACAGAAGAGUUUCCUCUGCCAUUUUUUCCCUAACUCUUCCCUUAGACUACACUAUCACCACUUUUAUUAAACCAUCUUCAUCUGGGCUAGAUCAGUAAGCUCCUCCCUAUUCUGAAACCUUGGAACUGACUGACAAGCUUCCUUAAUGCAUAUGGUCUCAGCGCAGCAUUUUAAGAGCUCUCAAAUUUUCAACAUAUUUUUUUACUUCUAUCAGUAUAAAUCCAUGGGCUUUUUUUUCCCCCAAGGGUUCUAUAUAUUGACAGUUUGUUUCCUACCAGUUCCUGGAGGUAUUUUAUUUUAUUUUUCUGCUCCUACUCCUAGAACAAUAAUGAGAAAAAGUGAAUAUUAUAGGUAUUAAUGCAUCAUUGAAAUUUCAAAGGGAAAUAGUAUAUAUAUGUUGUAUUUGGGAUUUUUGUUUUGUUUGAUUUUUGUAGAUAGUCUUAGUGAAUUAGUGUUCUAUUGCUAUAUAACAUCAUCACAAAAUUACUUUCUCAAAGUCACAUGCAAUUGCAAUCUCAUAUUUUGUCUGAGUCCAUUCCUAGAGGCUAGUCCCAGUUCUUGACCUUGAGGACUACCUCAAAUCACAGGAUAAUCCAGUAUAACCUACUUUUGUACUAACUUUUUUUAAUUAAUGAUUUUGGAAUUGUAAAACAUCUGCAAAACUCUUCACAAUUCCCAUACUGUAAUCAUCAGAGGGAAGUCACAGAUCAUGCUCACACUCAGCAGAAGCCAACACAACUUGAGAAUACUAAGAGACAGAAACCACUGUCCCCACACUCUCAAGUGUCCACCUCAGCUACAUGGAGGAAGUUCCUUGAUCACAGUAGUUUUUUUAAAUUCUUACCACAAGUGAAGGUUAAAUGUUAUAAGAUGUUUAUUUUGCAUAAAUGUAGAUUUGUUUGAAAAUAGAAUUAGAGUUAAGCGAGGAUGGCUAAGAAAUGCAUCUUUGAUCAUCUUCAUGGAGUUUUAAAGAUUUGUUAUCUAAACUUAUGUUAAUGGUGGCUGGAAUCUCAAGGGUCUCAGGACUGAAAUGUCUGAGGCUCUGAACACCUCUUUGCUUUACCCACAGCAGAUUGGGAAAAAGAACAGUCUGUUUCUUUCACUCUGACACCAGUCAGCUUUUUGUGCUUUCUCAGUGAUCAGUGGAUUGUUAAAACUCAUCCAGCUUUCUAGACUUCCUACAGUUUGAACUGAAGUGUGUUUAUGUAUGAUACUAAAGGAAACACACAAGCCUGAAAAUACCCUGUCUGGAAAUAAUGAGACCUUGAAGAGACAUUAAUUAACUUCCUAUUUUAAUCUGUGGCAUCUAUGUAGCUUCUAAGUUCUUUUAAAGAAGAUUUAUUUAUUAUCUAUUUAGAAGAGCCAUAGCUCUUGAAGUUCUUUCCCAACAAAGCUUAAAUCUGUCAAGUGUGAUUUGUAAUCAAUUACAAAUGCGACAUGGACAGAAAGAUACAUAAGGAAUUUAAAAAUCAAUAUUUGUAUAUCCUUAAUGUUUCAGCACAUCUUCUCAUAGCUUAAUUCUUUUAUUACAGCUGAAACUGAGACCCUAAAUAAUGUAUUGAAUUUUAUAUACCAUCAGACUCCUGUCUCUAGCCUUCCUUCCUUACAUUGACUCGCUGAAUUGAGAGACUUUUAUAGCCAGCCCUGGAAGUUUAUUAUCAGAUAGCACCUUAAUGACUGGAAUAGACUCAAGGAGUUUCAUUUAGGGGAAUUUUAGGCCCAGAGCAAAAAGCAUUGAAGCCCACUGGCCAUCCAAACCCUGGUCUGCAGAGUUUGGCAUUACUGACUAGUGAGGAACUUCAGCAUGAUCUGAGCCUGUACCUAGAUGAGAUAACCACUGUGACUCCAGCCAGCCCCUUAUUGCCCGGCUGAAGAACAACAUACGGCUGUCCCUAUUCUACUCUCCUAAUAGUCUGACUCCCACCUUCUUACAGCCUCCUUUUAAAAAUUUCAAAACACCCUUAUCCAGCACAUUGGUAGUUCUGGAUUUAGAAGUCUUCUACCCCCUCAUCUGCUGAUAGACUGAACGGUAUCUUUUCUUACCCUCACAUCUUAUCAGCAUUUUGACUGAGCACUGGGGACAGGAACCAAGAACUUUCAGAAAUGGAAAAUUUGGGCAAAUGUGGCAGAUAGGCUGACACCCUUGUUGCUGCCAGGUACCAAUGGAUAGAUGGAUAGAACAAUUGGCUGUGGCAGUGCACCAAGGUCUACCCACUCAAGCUGUUGGAGGAGGGAGAGGCCACUUCAGUUGGUGUUAACAGUCCCUGCUUUUGAGGUUUUGCCUUCUGGGAGAAACAGGGACAAUCCCAGCAGCUGCCAGAGCCACUUGUUGCCCUGGGGAAAUUCAUACAUUAUGUUCCAUCUUUGUUUUUGUGGUUUUAAAAAUAUUUAUGUUAGGGGAGCUUUUACUAGUACUUCCUCUUCAGUGGCUCAGAAGGUUAGUCCAGCUUUCUCCAUGACAACAGUAGCUGUUUCUUGAGUGCACACUGAGUAGGUGGUGUCAAGUAGUACUGGGUUCUGAACUUAAAUGAUCUUGUGGAACUUUCACAACAACUUAGCCUGCUUCUUAGGCUUUAACCCCAGGGAGCUUCAUUUUUAUCAUCUCUAAUGCGAGAUUAAUAACACUUUCUUGGCUGACGCUAGGGAGCUCAAAGUUGCCAAGGAAUUCUGAGCUGAACCUUGAUUGAAUAAACAUUUUAACAACAGAUCCGAUUUCUUGGGCAAUGUAAUCUGGAACACGUGGUGGAGAAGAACGGUGUUUUGUUUGUUGGUGAGCUAUCUGCUGAGAAACAGAAAGUGUCACACUGAAAACCAAUAAAGGUCUAAACUGGAGGUUAAAUGCUGCUUGCUCCUCUCCCUAAAUAAAUGGCUGAGAAUUCUAUACAAAUAGUAUUGCUUCUUAGGAGGCCCUACUACUUGUAUUGCUGUGCUCCUGUUUGAUAUUAAGAAAACAAAGCAUCCCAAAAGCUGUGCAAAACCUGCUCAAAGACAUUUAAGACAAACAAGUGCUGUGUUUUCCUACGGUGUCUUUUACUUCCAGGUCUGGCAAGGCAGUAAUAUUUGACAACUAUCUGCUUGUAGCAAUUCUGUGUGACACAUACCUCACCUGAUUUUACCCUAAGAACCUGCGGGCUGCUCAUACAAGGAAUCCUCAGAAAAGUUCGUGGAAGAUACAUAUCACGAAAAAUCAUGUGUGGAUUUUGAAAUUCUUUUGCACCAAAAUAAAUUUAUCUUUUCAUUCUAAAAAAAAUAUUUAUGUUAAAGACAGAGUAAAAGAGAAAGAGAGAACUUCCAUCUGUUGAUUCACUUUCCCAAAUGGCUGAAAAGGCCAGGGCUGGGCCAGGCCAAAGCUAAGGCCCUAGAACUCCGCUGGCUCUCCCUUAUGGGUGCAGAGGCCACUGUACAUGGGCCAUCUGCUGCUUCUUUCUCAGGACCAUUAGCAGGGGGCUGAAUCAGAAGUGUAACAGACAGAGCUUGAACUGCUGUUCAUAUGGGAUGCCAGCAUUGCAGGGGGCUGCUUGCGCCACUGCACAUCACUGCCAGCUGUACCACGGUUCUUUUAAUCAGUUUUCCUUUCAUCGUUUUGACCAUCUUCUAGAAUGUAGUUUAAUUGUGGACUCUAUUCCUUGGCUUUCAGGUCAGUUUCUGUAUGCUCUUUUCCUCUCCAGUUCUGACUCUAGUAUGACUGGACAGCAAAUGUUUAUCUUAAAAUCCUGGAUGACAGGAUAACUUGAUUCUAUACUAGUGGUUUUACCCCUUGGUACCUGGCCAAGAAAACCAUUUGUGUUUCACUAAGGUAAUUUCUUGUGUUCUUUGCUUUCUUUGUUGAAUUCUCAUUGUUUACAAAGAGCUGAGUGUUAACAAGGAAGAUUGCUUUGGGUGUUUACUCAUUUUCCAAUAUUUGGUGAUCACUGUAAGUAUGACUACAUCAGGUCUAUAACUGAUUAACUCACUCUAAGUGGUUGGAUAUUAUUUCACAAUGAAAAGUGUCCUUAUUUUGAACAGUUACUUUGAGGGACUCCUUCCCAUCACUGGCCCAGAGAUUGAAUAGGGACAGUUUCAUAAACCUGUCAUAUAUGUUCUGAGACAUUGUAUCAACAAUUCUGAUUCUUCCUAAAACCCUAAGCAAUGUUCUUAAAUACAGAUUUCUGACUGCUUUAAAAUCAACGGAAUAGGUAAGAAUGUCCAAAACUUGGGGGGAAAAUCCUGGAACACCUAGAAAGUGUCUAAUGUAAAACAGGACAAAAAUUAAUCAGACUAAAUGAAUUAAUGACAUCUGGGGAUUUCCAUCUUUCAUUUAAAGUGUUGUUGGUUCUAAUAUUUCAAUGUUUCACCUUCUAGGUUCAGGAAAACUGUUCCGUGAUUUCAGUGGUUUACUGUAUUUUGGUAAAGGGGUGUUCUGUAACCAGAGAAGAAGUGUUUAUUUUCCACUCCCUCCAUGUAAUUGCUCUAACAUUCAAAAAUUUUUAUAAAUAUGGUAUAUGUGGGAGGGCAAUGUGAUUGUUUUCAUGAAUUCAUCAGAAUCUGUUCUCAUAACAGAAUAUAUUUGGAAACAUUGGCAUAUCUAAAUCAUGCAUAAAAUGCCUGGCUUGUAGGGUUUUCAGUCUUGCAGUGAGUAAAUGGACUUCUCAUAUUUUAGCAGAUCCAAAAAUUUCAAAAUACUAGACACUGUAGUUUUUAAAAAAAAUCUAGGUUUGUCAUAGAUUUGCCUUUUAAUUUGGAGAAUUUUCCAAGUGUGAGAUUAUAUGUCAAAGGAAAUUUAGUUACUGUAUUUAAAGCAAAUAGCCAAUCAACAAACUAUAACAUACCUGCUUUAGACUGUAACUCUGUUCAUUGUUUUUCGACUGCUAACUUGGAGAGUUUUCUGGGUCUGAGACUAACAUGGAUACUCAACCUUUCAUGCUGUACUUACACGAAUUGUCAGUUAUCAUGUCUACUAUUUGUAUCCCUAUUCAUUAUUUUUAAGAUGUCAACCUGAUUUAUCUUGCACUUGGUGUUUUCCUAUUUGAGUUGUGUGCCUACUGCCUGUAAGAAGUCUACAGAAGUACAAUUCUCAGCAGGAUAAUGCCUGGCACUUUGAGAUGAUGAUUGGAACCUACAGAAUAAACAAAACUAAGUUUAACAAUGGACUCCAGGUUACAGAUCGGGAACUCUUUGUGUAUCAAAACAGCUUCACAGGACAGGAAAAUCAAGGGUUGGAUAUGAAGUAGUAACUCUCCCAGAAACUUCAGAAUCAAUAGCACUGCCACAAGGGAGAGGAAUGCUAGUGUGUCAUCAUUGUGGAAUGAGGAGGCACCUGCAAGAUAAAGCUGUGCAAAGAUAAACUGGGCCAGAAUCCAUCAUGGUUCACUUCACAUGCAGUUAUCCAUAUUCUUUGAUCCCCUAUUCCUGAUUCCUCCUUCCUUGUAGCCUCCUUUAAAAUCCCCAAAUCAUCCUCUUUCAGCAGGGUGCCAAAUCCUGGGACAGAAGUAUGCUACCCCCUCAUCUUCAAUAGAUUAAAUUGUCUAUUUCUUUUAUGCUUAAA
Molecule: non-coding RNA, 16962 nt
Organism: Oryctolagus cuniculus (rabbit)
Lineage: Eukaryota; Metazoa; Chordata; Mammalia; Lagomorpha; Leporidae
Source: RefSeq, a predicted model, not a curated record